CCCACAGAAGACCGGGGUCUAGAAGAGGCAGUUUCCUUGAGGAGUCUGGUCCAGUGAGGAAGACAGAGCGCAUGAGGAUGGGAAGGACCGCGGCAAAGGAAUCAUGGCAGGCGAGCCUACAGCACGGGGAGCAGUGUUCCCCGGGGCUGGGAAAGAAAGCCACCGUGCUGGAGAGGCCCAUGGGGCAAGAACUGAGGUUGGUCUUUGGCCCACAUCCAGUGAGGAGUGGAGGCCCUCAAUCCAACAGCCUGCAGAGACCUGAAUGGGGUCAACAGGCACGGAACUAAGCGUGGAACCAGAUCCUUCCCCAGGGGAGCCUUGAGGUGACGGCAGGCCUGGCUGAUACCUUGACUGCAGCCUUGGGUUCCAUGGAAGCUGAGGACCCAGCUGAGCCACAGAGAUUUUGAGAUAAGAAGUGUGUACUGUGUUAAGCUGCUAAUUUGGGGGUACUUUGUUCCACAGUAGUAGAUAACAAAUACAGGUCUUUGUUAGCCUAAAAA
Balaenoptera ricei (Rice's whale) is the source of this 500-nucleotide long non-coding RNA. RefSeq lists it as uncharacterized. The record is from RefSeq and is a predicted model, not a curated record. NCBI's taxonomy places the organism in Eukaryota, Metazoa, Chordata, Mammalia, Artiodactyla, Balaenopteridae. The transcript is spliced from 2 exons.